GCGGGGGUCGCCAAACAUGAGGGCAAAGCCAGGUCAACGGCGCAGGACUGAGGCUCCUGUCCCGUAGGGGUUCGUGGGUUCAAAUCCCACCCCCCGCACCA
RNAcentral lists this transfer RNA (101 nucleotides) under archaeon. RNAcentral's name for it is "tRNA-Leu". It matches the Rfam family "tRNA". Rfam says of the family: Transfer RNA (tRNA) molecules are approximately 80 nucleotides in length. Their secondary structure includes four short double-helical elements and three loops (D, anti-codon, and T loops). Further hydrogen bonds mediate the characteristic L-shaped molecular structure. tRNAs have two regions of fundamental functional importance: the anti-codon, which is responsible for specific mRNA codon recognition, and the 3' end, to which the tRNAs corresponding amino acid is attached (by aminoacyl-tRNA synthetases). tRNAs cope with the degeneracy of the genetic code in two manners: having more than one tRNA (with a specific anti-codon) for a particular amino acid; and 'wobble' base-pairing, i.e. permitting non-standard base-pairing at the 3rd anti-codon position. The record is from RNAcentral. RNAcentral also lists the same sequence under 1 other name.